GACCACUCCAGAAUACAUUCACGAAUGUAUUGUGCAGUAUUUGCUCUUUAACAAUCCGGAACAAGCUGAAAAUUUGAAAGAGCAGCUUCUUGCAUAAAGAACUGUUCAGAGUCUCUCAAUUUCUCGCACCAUGCGGUGUAUGGGGAAACCCAGUGUGAUUCGUCACACUAUCGUUAAGUGAAUACAUAGCUUAACGAGGCGAACCGGGGGAACUGAAACAUCUAAGUACCCCGAGGAAAAGAAAUCAACCGAGAUUCCCUGAGUAGCGGCGAGCGAACGGGGAACAGCCCAGAGCCUGAAUCAGCAUGUGUGUCAGUGGAAGCGUCUGGAAAGGCGCACGGUACAGGGUGACAGUCCCGUACACGAAGAUGCAUGUGCUGUGAGCUCGAUGAGUAGGGCGGGACACGUGGUAUCCUGUCUGAAUAUGGGGGGACCAUCCUCCAAGGCUAAAUACUCCUGACUGACCGAUAGUGAACCAGUACCGUGAGGGAAAGGCGAAAAGAACCCCGGCGAGGGGAGUGAAAAAGAACCUGAAACCGUGUACGUACAAGCAGUGGGAGCCUUCAUUUAUGAGGGUGACUGCGUACCUUUUGUAUAAUGGGUCAGCGACUUAUAUUCUGUAGCAAGGUUAACCGUAUAGGGGAGCCGCAGGGAAACCGAGUCUUAACCGGGCGCUCAGUUGCAGGGUAUAGACCCGAAACCCGGUGAUCUAGCCAUGGGCAGGUUGAAGGUUGGGUAACACUAACUGGAGGACCGAACCGACUAAUGUUGAAAAAUUAGCGGAUGACCUGUGGCUGGGGGUGAAAGGCCAAUCAAACCGGGAGAUAGCUGGUUCUCCCCGAAAGCUAUUUAGGUAGCGCCUCGUGAAUUCAUCUCCGGGGGUAGAGCACUGUUUCGGCUAGGGGGCCAUCCCGGCUUACCAACCCGAUGCAAACUGCGAAUACCGGAGAAUGUUAUCACGGGAGACACACGGCGGGUGCUAACGUCCGUCGUGAAGAGGGAAACAACCCAGACCGCCAGCUAAGGUCCCAAAGUCAUGGUUAAGUGGGAAACGAUGUGGGAAGGCCCAGACAGCCAGGAUGUUGGCUUAGAAGCAGCCAUCAUUUAAAGAAAGCGUAAUAGCUCACUGGUCGAGUCGGCCUGCGCGGAAGAUGUAACGGGGCUAAACCAUGCACCGAAGCUGCGGCAGCGACGCGAAUGCGUUGUUGGGUAGGGGAGCGUUCUGUAAGCCUGCGAAGGUGUGCUGUGAGGCAUGCUGGAGGUAUCAGAAGUGCGAAUGCUGACAUAAGUAACGAUAAAGCGGGUGAAAAGCCCGCUCGCCGGAAGACCAAGGGUUCCUGUCCAACGUUAAUCGGGGCAGGGUGAGUCGACCCCUAAGGCGAGGCCGAAAGGCGUAGUCGAUGGGAAACGGGUUAAUAUUCCCGUACUCGGUGUUACUGCGAAGGGGGGACGGAGAAGGCUAUGUUGGCCGGGCGACGGUUGUCCCGGUUUAAGCGUGUAGGCUGACUUUCCAGGCAAAUCCGGAAGGUCAAGGCUGAGGCGUGACGACGAGGCACCACGGUGCUGAAGCAACAAAUGCCCUGCUUCCAGGAAAAGCCUCUAAGCAUCAGGUAACAGUGAAUCGUACCCCAAACCGACACAGGUGGUCAGGUAGAGAAUACCAAGGCGCUUGAGAGAACUCGGGUGAAGGAACUAGGCAAAAUGGUGCCGUAACUUCGGGAGAAGGCACGCUGGCACGUAGGUGGAGGGACCUGCUCCCCGAGCCGAAGCCAGUCGAAGAUACCAGCUGGCUGCAACUGUUUAUUAAAAACACAGCACUGUGCAAACACGAAAGUGGACGUAUACGGUGUGACGCCUGCCCGGUGCCGGAAGGUUAAUUGAUGGGGUUAUCGCAAGAGAAGCUCCUGAUCGAAGCCCCGGUAAACGGCGGCCGUAACUAUAACGGUCCUAAGGUAGCGAAAUUCCUUGUCGGGUAAGUUCCGACCUGCACGAAUGGCGUAAUGAUGGCCAGGCUGUCUCCACCCGAGACUCAGUGAAAUUGAACUCGCUGUGAAGAUGCAGUGUACCCGCGGCAAGACGGAAAGACCCCGUGAACCUUUACUACAGCUUGACACUGAACAUUGAGCCUUGAUGUGCAGGAUAGGUGGGAGGCUUUGAAGCGUGGACGCCAGUCUGCGUGGAGCCAUCCUUGAAAUACCACCCUUUAAUGUUUGAUGUUCUAACCUGGCGCCAUAAUCUGGCGUGGGGACAGUGUCUGGUGGGUAGUUUGACUGGGGCGGUCUCCUCCCAAAGUGUAACGGAGGAGUACGAAGGUCAGCUAAUCACGGUCGGACAUCGUGAGGUUAGUGCAAUGGCAUAAGCUGGCUUGACUGCGAGAGUGACGGUUCGAGCAGGUGCGAAAGCAGGUCAUAGUGAUCCGGUGGUUCUGAAUGGAAGGGCCAUCGCUCAACGGAUAAAAGGUACUCCGGGGAUAACAGGCUGAUAC
This 2485-nucleotide ribosomal RNA is filed under the name Mixta calida. RNAcentral describes it as "partial 23S ribosomal RNA". It matches the Rfam family "Bacterial large subunit ribosomal RNA", at positions 48 to 2488 of the family's 2925-position model. Lineage: Bacteria; Pseudomonadati; Pseudomonadota; Gammaproteobacteria; Enterobacterales; Erwiniaceae. The record is from RNAcentral.